GCCUCAUUAGCUCAGUGGUAGAGCACUUGCUUCGUAAGCAAGGGGCCGGGGGUUCAAAUCCCUCAUGAGGCU
Molecule: transfer RNA, 72 nt
Filed under: Candidatus Pacearchaeota archaeon CG10_big_fil_rev_8_21_14_0_10_35_13
Lineage: Archaea; Nanobdellati
Description: tRNA-Thr
Rfam family: tRNA
About the family: Transfer RNA (tRNA) molecules are approximately 80 nucleotides in length. Their secondary structure includes four short double-helical elements and three loops (D, anti-codon, and T loops).
Source: RNAcentral